GAGAGCCGUAACACAGGUGCUGCAUGGCUGUCGUCAGCUCGUGUCGUGAGAUGUUGGGUUAAGUCCCGCAACGAGCGCAACCCUUGUCAUUAGUUGCUACAUUCAGUUGGGCACUCUAAUGAGACUGCCGGUGACAAGCCGAGGAAGUGGGAUGACGUCAAGUCCUCAUGGCCCUUAUAGGUGGGGCUACACACGUCAUACAAUGGCUGGUACAAAGGGUUGCCAACCCGCGAGGGGGAGCUAAUCCCAUAAAGCCAGUCGUAGUCCGGAUCGUAGUCUGCAACUCGACUACGUGAAGUCGGAAUCGCUAGUAAUCGUGGAUCAGAAUGUCACGGUGAAUACGUUCCCGGGUCUU
RNAcentral lists this ribosomal RNA (355 nucleotides) under uncultured Rhodoferax sp. RNAcentral describes it as "bacterial SSU rRNA". It matches the Rfam family "Bacterial small subunit ribosomal RNA", at positions 1022 to 1382 of the family's 1533-position model. The record is from RNAcentral. Lineage: Bacteria; Pseudomonadati; Pseudomonadota; Betaproteobacteria; Burkholderiales; Comamonadaceae.